GUCUGGAUGUAGAAUGCUCGGCUACUUCUCCAGCACCGCAUCUGUCUGCAUGCUGCCAUGCUCUUCACCUUGAUGAUAAUGGAACUAAACCUUUGAAACUCUAAGCCAGUCCCACCUAAAAGCUUUCUUUUGUACUCCAAAUGAAUAUAUGCCUCCUCUCUUUUUGUGAGAUCCCACAGAAACACAUGAAAUUAUAUUAAUGAGAAAGAAGCCUUAACAUGCAUGUACACUGAAAAGAGCCAGCAAGAGAAAAAACAUUGAACUGGAGUGGCGGAGAGAACCCAGAAGACCUGUGGCAAGUUAUCCAUUCUCAUAACUGUAAUAUGUGCACCUUCACCAGCAUUUCAUCCCAGCCUCUGAUAACCACCAUCUUACCUUCUACUUCAAGGAGACAUCUAUGCAAAUGACUUCACAAAUAUUUAUGAGCAUUGGUAAUAUAGUCAACAUUAUUGUAUUGCAAAUGAGUAUGCAUUGUGAUAAAAAUGUCUCUUGCACCCUAAGACUGGAACUAUGCUUGGGCCUUUAUGUUAUGAUAAUCAUCUGCUGAAACAGCACCCAGGAAGAAGGAGACCCCUGUAAAAAGAACAGGCACCUGAAAUGUUGGUAGCAACAUACAGAUAUUGCUAGAUAAGCAAAGAUAUUUGUGAUAUUGUUUAUUACCUGGGCCAGUGGGGGUCAAUGACCAAUGACUUUAUGCCUUAUAAAACCCUGCUGAAGAGUCCUAUUAUGCAUCUCCUGGUUCUUCUCUGGCUAAUGCUUCCUACACUGUUGUUCAAAAAGAGGGCAAAGACUGGCUAUGCACAUAUACUUGAGCACACGUGCACACACGAUCAGAUUCACAAGAUAGCAUUCAGAUAGACAAGAUUCAGACUCAUAAAGUAGGAUGGAAAAGAGAAGCAGAGAAUUCAAAUCUGGACUCACUCUUGGUCAAAUGACACCAAGGGGAAGUUCCGUAUUGUUUUCCUUAAUGUAACAGAGACACAUUGUUGGUGACUCUUUAUCUUAAUGCAGUCAAACCAAUGGUGGGGCCAGUGUCACUCCUCUUUUUUGUUCCUCCCCAAGGACAAAUCUGCCCCGUGUCUGUAAACAAAGUGAAUUCUCAGCAUUGCAUAGUAUCCUUCUUGACUUGUGGGAUGCUUCGCCUGUUCAGAGAAAAGGCCAUCAGAAAUGUGUUGCCAAGAAAGAGAAAAUGGACCCUGCAGCCAGCCGAAGACGUGCCUGUAAAAACAAACAAACAAAAAAGCUGGCAAAGCCAGCUAGCCAGCAGAGCACUAAGGACCUCAGGUGGGCCCAGUGAAAGAUAGAAGCACAGGGGUAGGGCCAGAGGCAGGGAAGCAGAUACCAAGAUAACUAUGCUUACUUCCUGGUUGCCUUUGUCCUGGUUUAAGGAUAGAAUUUGAUGUGUUCUGAAUGCUUCUCUGUACUGACUGAGCAAGCACCAGCCCCUUGAUCACCAUACACACUCCUAGGUGGCAGGAGGAAGUCACAUGAAGCUUUUAUGAAGGGAAGGCUGCCAAGACCCCAGCAAAAAACAAACAAACAAAAAAAAGAAGUCAAUGCCAAUGCACAGUGUUUUUCCUAUGUUGAUGUUCCAAAUUGCUCUACAACCAGAGAAGGACAACAUCAAAGAGGCAGAUGAGCUUUGAAGACUUUGUGGGUGGAGGUUGACCAGCAGUCCUAAUAAAUAUGCAUUGUCU
This is a non-coding RNA of Cricetulus griseus (Chinese hamster), 1697 nucleotides long. NCBI's taxonomy places the organism in Eukaryota, Metazoa, Chordata, Mammalia, Rodentia, Cricetidae. The record is from RefSeq and is a predicted model, not a curated record.